RNAcentral lists this ribosomal RNA (482 nucleotides) under uncultured bacterium. RNAcentral's name for it is "partial 16S ribosomal RNA". It matches the Rfam family "Bacterial small subunit ribosomal RNA", at positions 28 to 523 of the family's 1533-position model. The record is from RNAcentral.
GACGAACGCUGGCGGCGUGCUUAACACAUGCAAGUCGAACGAUGAACUGGAGCUUGCUCCAGGGAUUAGUGGCGAACGGGUGAGUAACACGUGAGUAACCUGCCCUUGACUCUGGGAUAAGCGCUAGAAAUGGCGUCUAAUACCGGAUACGAGCUUCAGCCGCAUGGCUAGGAGUUGGAAAGAAUUUUGGUCAAGGAUGGACUCGCGGCCUAUCAGCUAGUUGGUGAGGGAAUGGCUCACCAAGGCGACGACGGGUAGCCGGCCUGAGAGGGUGACCGGCCACACUGGGACUGAGGCACGGCCCAGACUGCUACGGGAGGCAGCAGUGGGGAAUAGUGCACAAUGGGCGAAAGCCUGAUGCAGCAACGCCGCGUGAGGGAUGACGGCCUUCGGGUUGUAAACCUCUUUUAGUAGGGAAGAAGCGAAAGUGACGGUACCUGCAGAAAAAGCACCGGCUAACUACGUGCCAGCCGCCGCGGUAA